RNAcentral lists this ribosomal RNA (439 nucleotides) under uncultured bacterium. RNAcentral's name for it is "partial 16S ribosomal RNA". It matches the Rfam family "Bacterial small subunit ribosomal RNA", at positions 338 to 795 of the family's 1533-position model. The record is from RNAcentral.
CCUACGGGUGGCAGCAGUGGGGACUAUUGCACACUGGGCGAAAGCCUGAUGCAGCCACGCCGCGUGAGCGAUGAAGGCCUUCGGGUCGUAAAGCUCUGUCCUCAAGGAAGAUAUUGCCGGUUCUUGAGGGCGAAGCCCUGGCUAACUACGUGCCAGCAGCCGCGUUCAUACGUCGGGGGCUAGCGUUAUCUGGAAUUACGGGGGGUAACGGGUGCGUUGGUGGUGUCUUAAGUCAGAGGUGAAAGGCUACGGCUAAACCGUAGGAAGCUUUUGAAACUGGGGAGCCUGAGUGCAGGAGAGGAGAGUGGAAUUCCUAGUGUAGCGGUGAAAGGCGUAGAUAUUAGGAGGAACACCAGUGGCGAAGGCGGCUCUCUGGACUGUAACUGACACUGAGGCACGAAAGCGUGGGGAGCAAACAGGAUUAGAUACCCGAGUAGUC